This 360-nucleotide unclassified non-coding RNA is filed under the name soil metagenome. Its description in RNAcentral is "partial contains 5.8S ribosomal RNA, internal transcribed spacer 2, and large subunit ribosomal RNA". The stretch from base 1 to 120 matches the Rfam family "5.8S ribosomal RNA", at positions 35 to 154 of the family's 154-position model. The record is from RNAcentral.
GAUGAGGAACGUAGCGAAAUGCGAUAAGUAAUGCGAAUUGCAGAAUUCAGUGAAUCAUCGAAUCUUUGAACGCACAUUGCGCCCGCCAGUAUUCUGGCGGGCAUGCCUGUCUGAGCGUCGUUUCGACCCUCGCGCCCGGCUUCUGUCGGGGGCGGUGUUGGGGAUCGGCCACACCCUUCAGUGGGAGGCCGGCCCCUAAAUUCAGUGGCGACCACGCUGUAGCCUCCCCUGCGUAGUACUAAAACCACCUCGCAGGCGGAGAGCGGUGCGGCCCGCCGUAAAACCCCCCAACUUUUACAAGGUCGACCUCAGAUCAGGUAGGAAUACCCGCUGAACUUAAGCAUAUCAAUAAGCGGAGGA